UAAUACGUAGGGGGCGAGCGUUGUCCGGAUUCAUUGGGCGUAAAGCGCUCGUAGGCGGCUUGGCAAGUCGGAUGUGAAAACUCCAGGCUCAACCUGGAGCCGCCAUUCGAUACUGCCAUGGCUAGAGUCCGGUAGGGGAGUGUGGAAUUCCCGGUGUAGCGGUGAAAUGCGCAGAUAUCGGGAGGAACACCGAUGGCGAAGGCAGCACUCUGGGCCGGUACUGACGCUGAGGAGCGAAAGCGUGGGGAGCGAACA
RNAcentral lists this ribosomal RNA (255 nucleotides) under uncultured prokaryote. RNAcentral's name for it is "partial 16S ribosomal RNA". It matches the Rfam family "Bacterial small subunit ribosomal RNA", at positions 521 to 774 of the family's 1533-position model. The record is from RNAcentral.